This 73-nucleotide transfer RNA is filed under the name Megalops atlanticus (tarpon). It matches the Rfam family "tRNA". From Rfam's summary of the family: Transfer RNA (tRNA) molecules are approximately 80 nucleotides in length. Their secondary structure includes four short double-helical elements and three loops (D, anti-codon, and T loops). Lineage: Eukaryota; Metazoa; Chordata; Actinopteri; Elopiformes; Megalopidae. The record is from Rfam by way of RNAcentral.
AGCAGAGUGGCGCAGCGGAAAACGUGCUGGGCCCAUAACCCAGAGGUCGAUGGAUCGAAACCAUCCUCUGCUA